GGACGAACGCUGGCGGCGUGCCUAAGCUUAUGCAAGUCGAACGCGAACGGCUCCUUCGGGAGCCUAGUAGAGUGGCAAACGGGUGAGUAACGCGUGGGUAACGUACCCUGAUCCUGGGAAUAACCCUCGGAAACGAGGGCUAAUACCGAAUGUGGCGAACGACCGGUUGGUCGCUCGCUAAAGGUGGCCUCUUCUAUGCUGCCGGGUUGGGAUCGGCCCGCGUCCCAUUAGCUAGUUGGUGAGGUAACGGCUCACCAAGGCCACGAUGGGUAGCCGGCCUGAGAGGGUGUACGGCCACACUGGCACUGAGACAAGGGCCAGUCCCCUAUGGGAGGCGCAGGCGGGAAUAGUUCACAAUGGGCGAAAGCCUGAUGACGCGACGCCGCGUGAGCGAAGAAGACCUUCGGGUUGUAAAGCUCUGUCAGGAGGGAAGAAGGCUCUACGGGUUAAUAGCCCGUGGAAUUGACGGUACCUCCAGAGGAAGCCCCGGCUAAAUACGUGCCAGCAGCCGCGGUAAUACGUAUGGGGCAAGCGUUGUCCGGAUUUACUGGGCGUAAAGGGCGCGUAGGCGGUUUGUUAAGUCGAAGGUGAAAUCCUCGGGCUCAACUCGAGAAUUGCCUUCGAUACUGGCAAACUAGAGUGGCGGAGAGGAAAGCGGAACUCUUGGUGUAACGGUGGAAUGUGUAGAUAUCAAGAGGAACACCGGUGGCGAAGGCGGCUUUCUGGACGCACACUGACGCUCAGGCGCGAAAGCGUGGGUAGCAAACAGGAUUAGAUACCCUGGUAGUCCACGCCAUAAACGAUGGGUACUAGGUGUCGGGGGUAUCGACCCCUCCGGUGCCGCAGUUAACGCACUAAGUACCCCGCCUGGGGAUUAUGGUCGCAAGGCUGAAACUCAAAGGAAUUGACGGGGCCCCGCACAAGCGGUGGAGCAUGUGGUUUAAUUCGACGCAACGCGAAGAACCUUACCUGGGCUUGACAUGCUUGGGACAGCGCUGGAAACAGCGUCUCUCCUUCGGGAGCCCUUGCACAGGUGCUGCAUGGCUGUCGUCAGCUCGUGUCGUGAGAUGUUGGGUUAAGUCCCGCAACGAGCGCAACCCUCGUUACUAGU
Molecule: ribosomal RNA, 1111 nt
Filed under: uncultured organism
Description: bacterial SSU rRNA
Rfam family: Bacterial small subunit ribosomal RNA
Source: RNAcentral